UACAGAGGGUGCAAGCGUUGUUCGGAAUUACUGGGCGUAAAGAGCGUGUAGGCGGUCUAGAAAGUCAGAUGUGAAAUCCCGGGGCUCAACCCCGGACGUGCAUUUGAAACUCCUAGGCUAGAGUGUGGUAGAGGAUAGUGGAAUACCUAGUGUAGUGGUGAAAUACGUAGAUAUUAGGUAGAACACCGGUGGCGAAGGCGGCUAUCUGGGCCAUAACUGACGCCGAGACGCGAAAGCGUGGGGAGCAAACAGGAUUAGAUACCCUGGUAGUCCACGCCCUAAACGAUGGAUGCUCACUGUAGCGGGUAUUGACCCCCGCUGUAGUCUAGCUAACGCGUUAAGCAUCCCGCCUGGGGAGUACGGUCGCAAGAUUAAA
This 376-nucleotide ribosomal RNA is filed under the name uncultured bacterium. RNAcentral describes it as "bacterial SSU rRNA". It matches the Rfam family "Bacterial small subunit ribosomal RNA", at positions 524 to 898 of the family's 1533-position model. The record is from RNAcentral.